Molecule: non-coding RNA, 3501 nt
Organism: Parasteatoda tepidariorum (common house spider)
Lineage: Eukaryota; Metazoa; Arthropoda; Arachnida; Araneae; Theridiidae
Source: RefSeq, a predicted model, not a curated record
ACAGGGUGAGGGAAGGAAACCUUGAGGAAACAAAUGAAAGAAAUCUCCGAGCGGACGAAGAUGACAUCUGGGAGUGCUGGAAAGAUGUGGAAUUUUUAAGGAUGCCCGAUCUUCAUUUCUGCAUGGCCGGUCCACUUUUUUUCUUGAUCUGGUGGCUCGCGAUCUUCAUAACUUCCGUUGUAGCAGCUGGAGCUAAUUCCAUACCAGAGCACGGCGAAGAUUGUGAAAUUGCACAAACUAAAUGUUCCUACAGAGCGAAUUGCUACCAUGCUUUGCAUAGCUACAUGGUGGAUUGCGCGGAUGUCCUUGCCGGUCGCACAACUCGAUGUACUUAUGCCUGCAAGCGAGCUCUCAUCUCUCUGACGAGUUCUGAAGCUGGACAAACACUCGCCAAUUGCUAUUGCGGCAGCAAUGAGUUCUGUCUUCGUAGCAAAGAAAGAAUCGAAGUGUGCCGACCGGAAGUUAGCCACGCGACAGCUGAUAAUACUGUUGUAUCCUGUUCUGUAGCUAAAUGGAUUUGCGCUGCUGAUCCGCUGUGCUCUACAGCUCUUGACUACUACCACAGACUCUGCAGAUCUAUGUUCCACGGACGCAAAUGCACUCCUCGCUGCAACAACAGCCUCGCUAUAUUAGACAGGCAGGAGAAAGCCGGGAAAUUGAGAGAUUGCUAUUGCGAUGGUAGUGAAGAAUUUCCCUGUGUCAGUAUCAAGCAGAACACUCAAUUGCUGUGUUACGGACAAGAAUGGGUCAAUAACGAACUACAUAAUCCUGUUACAACGGAAGAGACAUUGCCUAGUUGCAGCAACAGGUUAUCUUCCUCUAUUCUUGGUUACUGUUUUCUGGUGUUUAUGGUGUUCAUGCUGAACCAUAGGACUAGUGGUGAAGAGCUAAACACAAGUUCUUCCCUAGAAAAUAGCGUGCCCCUCUCUCAAGCAACGUCCUGCUCAAUAACAAAGUUAAAACGAACUUUUGAUUGUGACAAACAGUGGCCAUGGUGGUGGACAUCAGAGCAACGUGUUACUUGAGAAUUGAAUAUUACUAUUGCAUGUUCGACUGGAGGAAAAUCCUUAAACGGUCGCCACAGGUGGCGAUCAAGUAAGUUAGAUGGCAAGCGAAACCUGAUGGAGGCAGCUGCCUGGGUAUUUCCUUCUAAAAGAAAGAAGAAACAGAUUCAUUUGCAUUUCUUGCUGAAACCGGUGUUGAAAAAAUAUUACAGAGGAAUAUUAAAUGUAUUUUAAAUCUUUUACCCUAAGAAUAUGGACUAUAGAGAUUUACUAUAAUGAGGCAGCUCUGUUUAUUUCUUUGCUAAGAAUUUCUAAUGGUGCGUUAAUAUUCUUGUAAAACGUAAUUCCAUCAAUGUAAUAAUCUUCAUUGUUAUAUUCCUUUAAUCUAAGUUAUGAAUUUAAGGAAAAAUAAUAUUAUUGUUGAUUCACGUAAAAUUUAUUAAAUGCAAUUGUUAAACUUGUUUUGAUUGUCCUUAGUAUUUUGAUAAAUGAUAGUUCCAUCAAUGAUCUACAUUGUUGUAAUACUGAAAUAUGAAUUGGAAGAUAGCAUUUCCAGUUACGUAUUAUUGUUGAUUCAAGAAAAAUUUUUUAAAUGUAAUUGUUGAUAUUUUUUUUUAAACUUUGUUUUAUUUUGAUUGUUUGUAAUAUUUUCAUAAAUGAUACUUUCAUCAAAGUAAUGAUCUACAUUGUUAUAGUUUUAAAAUAUUUAAUCGGAAUUAACAAUUUAGGAUAAUGUUUUAUUGUUCAUUUUAAGUUAAGUCUAUUAAAUGCAAUUUUUUAUAAUUUUUGCUUUAUCUUAUAAAAAACGUAAGAUUAUUUUAACCUAGUGAAUAAAUAUUAUGAUAUUUGUUCCUUUUUUUAUAAAAUAUAAAAUGUUUAAGUUAUUAGGUACAGUUGUUUAAAUAUUUAUUUUAAAGAAAUAUUUUGCUAACUUUUUCAAAUCCUACUUUUAUAGAAGAAAAUCUAACAUACUAGAGAUUUUUAAAGGAGAAAAAUAAAUAAUUUUGACAUCUAUUAUUUAUUUAAAUCUUGAUUGUUAUGUUUACUACGGUUUAAAACUGUUUAUCCGAGUUGCUAGGAUGUUUACGAUAAGUUUUCAAAUCUUUCAUAAGCCCUUAAGCAAAAUAAAAAAAUAUAUCAUUUUAUAGAACUUUAAUGGUAUGAUUAAUAAAUGAUAUGAUUUAGCUUUAUUUAUCUACCUCUUGCUUGUUUACUAAAAAUGUUGCCAGUAAGGGUAACAAUCUUGUACAACAAAUAACCAAAGUUGUAUUUUUUUUUUAUUAAAUCAAAAAGUUGUAUUUACAUUGAAUAAGAAUAAGAAAGAUGUUUUUAUUGAAAUAUUUUAUUUAAGUUAUAUUCCUAAUAUUGUAAAUAUAUUUGUUAAUGGGUUUUGUAAACUCUGUAUUAUACAAGUUCCUUCUAUAGAAUAAUCAAAAGUUUUUGUUUUAACCUUAGAUAACUAAACAUUCGUCCAAAUGACUACCAACCCAGUUUUGCAUAUGCUGGGAUGUUACCCUAACAUCUUUAAAACGUUAUCUGAAUUACACGUUAACAAAGACGAUAUCUAGACAGUCUAAACGUUGAAUUAUGUCACUUAUCUUUAUUUGUUUGAGUUAGCUUUGCUAAUUUGGUGUUGCUAUGUUAAAUAUAGGAAAUAUAAAACUAAACUCAUUUUUUAAUUCAUAGUAUAUGACUUAAGUAUCUUAUGUUUAGUUAUCUGGUUUAUGUUUAGUUAUCUAGAGUUAAUGUUAGUUAUCUAGAGAUAUUCGAAAGAAUGAUUUACAAAGAAUAUUUUAUAUCAAUUGUAUCAAAGUAUAUUAUUGCGAUAAUUUAAUAUGUAUUGAUUCGAAACAUAAUAUUUUAUUGUUUUUUUCUUCUUCAUAAAUUAGUAAUCAAUACUUAUUGAUUUUGUUGCAUUCUUUCAGUUGUUGUAUUAUUCCCUUAUAUCAUAUCUUAUAUUGAACAAGCUUUUAAAUAUUUACAUUGGCAUUUAUAUCAGUUUUCUGUCUACAGUUAAAAUAACAAUUUCAUAUUUUUAAUAUUACUGUAAACAUUCGUAAAUAUGUGUUAUAAUAAAUUGAAAGGUUUUUGUUAUAAAUCAUUUCUGUUCUAUACUUUUAAAAUUAAAUUUGCAUUAUCAAUUUUAAAUAACUAUAACUAGUCUACAUGUUUACUGUUUUAAUAUGGAGGCAUUUUUUUCUUCAGUUAAAAUAAUAUUUAACUUUCAAUUACCUUGCGAUGGUUAUUGUAAAACAACUGAAAUAAAUUAAUAUUUAUUUGAAUAAUCUUUUAAUGUUUUCUAAAGUUUUGUUUUACCCUUUCAAUUAAAAGAAAAAUAAUUAAUUGAUGGAAAAUAUAUUUGUAAAUUAUUUUUAUUGUAUUAUAGUUGUAAAAGUAAUUAUAUAAUUGAAUUAGACAAAUUUUUAAAAAAAUCAGAUAUAAUAAUGUACCAAUGAUAUGAAAAGUGUAUAAGAAAAAUAAAUUUAUUUGGAAUUUU